Molecule: ribosomal RNA, 445 nt
Filed under: uncultured microorganism
Description: bacterial SSU rRNA
Rfam family: Bacterial small subunit ribosomal RNA
Source: RNAcentral
GUAGUUUGAUCGUGGCUCAGGAUGAACGCUGGCGGCGUGCUUAACACAUGCAAGUCGAACGGGCUCAUAUUGAAACCUAGUGAUUUAUGAGUUAGUGGCGGACGGGUGAGUAACGCGUGGUAAAACCUGCCGUAUACUGGGGGGAUAACACUUAGAAAUAGGUGCUAAUACCGCAUAAGCGCACAGCUUCGCAUGAAGUGGUGUGAAAAACUCUGGUGGUAUACGAUGGUUCCGCGUCUGAUUAGCUUGUUGGCGGGGUAAUGGCUCACCAAGGCGACGAUCAGUAGCCGGCCUGAGAGGGUGAACGGCCACAUUGGGACUGAGACACGGCCCAAACUCCUACGGGAGGCAGCAGUGGGAUAUUGCACAAUGGGGGAAACCCUGAUGCAGCGACGCCGCGUGAGUGAAGAAGUAUUUCGGUAUGUAAAGCUCUAUCAGCAGGGAA